This 246-nucleotide ribosomal RNA is filed under the name uncultured bacterium. RNAcentral describes it as "partial 16S ribosomal RNA". It matches the Rfam family "Bacterial small subunit ribosomal RNA", at positions 527 to 772 of the family's 1533-position model. The record is from RNAcentral.
GUAGGGUGCAAGCGUUAAUCGGAAUUACUGGGCGUAAAGCGUGCGCAGGCGGUUGUGUAAGACAGGGGUGAAAUCCCCGGGCUUAACCUGGGAAUUGCAUUUGUGACUGCACGACUAGAGUGUGUCAGAGGGGGGUGGAAUUCCACGUGUAGCAGUGAAAUGCGUAGAUAUGUGGAGGAACACCAAUGGCGAAGGCAGCCCCCUGGGAUAACACUGACGCUCAUGCACGAAAGCGUGGGGAGCAAA